RNAcentral lists this long non-coding RNA (2423 nucleotides) under Marmota monax (woodchuck). Lineage: Eukaryota; Metazoa; Chordata; Mammalia; Rodentia; Sciuridae. The record is from RNAcentral.
GCCCUUUGUUUUGUUUUGGUGGUGCUAGGGAUUGAACCCAAGGCCUUGUGCAUUCGAGGCAAACACUCUACCAACUGAGCUAUAUCCCUAGCCCCCAUCUUUUUUUUUUUUUUAACUUUUUUAGUUGUAGGUGGACACAAUACCUUUAUUUAUUUAUUUUCAUGCAGUGCUGAGGAUCAAACCCAGUGCCUCACCCAUGCUAGGCAAGUGCUAUACCGCUGAGCCAUAACCCCAGUCCCCCAUCUUUUUAAAUAUAAAUAGUAUUUAGUUGUCAGUGGACCUUUAUUUAGUUAUAUGCUGUGCUGAGGAUUGAACCCAGUGCUUCACACAUGCUGGGCAAGCACUCCACCACUGAGCCACAGCCCAGCCCUGCAUCUUUUCUACUUCAUCUGUUUCAAAUGCUGAGUGUAUGAACUGUUUCUGUUACUGAUUCAGAUCUGUUCCACUACAAUUCAAAUAUAGGACCACUGGCAUUAGCACCUACAUAGGUCUCCUGGCCACCCACACACAUAGGAACUCAGGCUGCCACUCCUGUGUGGACCCUCUUCUACCAAUGUGGGUGUCCUACAGUCACCUCCAUCUUGGGGCACUGCAACCACUGCCACAGUCCCCAACAUGUGGUAGCCUGUACCUGGGGCCACUGCACUGGAUCUGGUGACAGCUGCUAGCCACAAUACUGCAUGCCACAGAGCUCUAUCUCAGAACAUACCACUCAAUGCCACCGCCUGGCUCUACCUCACCUGACACCCCAUUGCUGAAAGCACCUGCCUCCAUCUUGGGACACCUUAGUUGCCAUAUUUAUUUGGGGCAACUCCUGACUUGGAACACCAGCUGGGACUUAGAAACAAUAUCAAGGUACCUGAAGUCCCCCAACUCCCCCUUCUCCCCUGCAGCUUCUAACCCGGCACAGUGCCUGUGGCUACACGGCCAGUAGGUAGCUUGGAAAACCAGGUCCUGAACUGCCCAAUGUAAAGCAGCUCUCUGCCCUGGUACGUAGCCUUCAGACCUCAGCCCCCAGAGUGCAGCCCACAAGACCUGUGGAGAGGAAGGUUCCUGAUUGGGAAAUAGAGAGAGAGGGGGUGAGAGACAGUUUAAAGACUAAAUUAGAGACCAGAAUUUGCGAGUAUACAGGCGAUAUAAGAAGAAAGACUAGGGGCCCACAUCACAUGAGUGGGUCCCAAAGGAGAUCCUUGGGUUGCAGUCUCCCAUUGGGACUGGCAAAUACUAUACCCCACUUCUAGGACCCACAUCCCCAAGACCAACCCUCCCACCCCAAUAAUCUUCACCAUCCUGAGGGUGGAGAUCCUAACAACCCCACCUAUUGGAUGAAAAGGGAAGCUGGAAAGAUACUGAUCUCUAACAAAAAUAAUCCUUGUAUCUUCCUGGAGUCCCCCCCCCCCCAUCCUCCUGUCCUUACAUCCCCAAAAUUUGUGAAACCAAGUAUUUUUCACAAAUUAGACUAAUAAGGAAUGAGAUGUCUGAAUAGUAUAUUACAGUGGUGUGGUAUAUUCUUUUAUCUCCUAUUUUUACAAUUUUUACUUAAUAUUUUUUUAUACUCUACUGUCUACACUUACUUUUCUCCCCCAAAUAAUUAUCUUUUCUGCUACUAACCAGUUUCUUUAGAUUCCUGUUUCACGCUUUCUAAAAUCUAAAAACUGUAUAUCCUCACCUCCUAACCCAACAUGUCAUCCUACACCUCACCCCUGGUUCUUUGUUCACCAUCAGAAACUAGUCCCUUUUGCACACCUACCAUUUAUAUUGUAGAACUUACCAUUUCUGUAUAUUGGGACCAACUGUAAAUGUCUUAAUAGCAGAUAUUUGGUUUAAGGUUGUAUAUUGUUUGUAUUGGGAUCUGUCCACAUUGUUCUCCUUCUUAAAGGAGAGGUAUUGGUCCCCUGCAGGGGCACUGUAAGGCUAUAGAAUAAAAAAUGGUAAUUAAUCUGAUCCCCAGUGCUAGAAGGGAAGACACAAACAACAUGAAAAAACAAGGGAAGAAAGUGCCCCCAACCAACCAAGAUAUUACAUUGUUAGAAUCCAUGGCCAGCACAAAAGAAGAAAUGAAAGAAAAGGAGUUCAGGAUACACAUAAUUAAAAUGUUCUGUGACUUAAAGGAUGAUAUAAGAGCAAAUACAGGCUGCAAAAGAUCAUUUUGAUAAAGAGCUACAUAAGCAAAUACAGAAAGCAAAAGAUUGUUUCAAUAAAGAGAGAAGUUCUGGAAAAAACAGAAAUCCUUGAAAUGAAAGAAAUAAUAAACCAAAUCAAAAGCAUCACCAACAGAUUAGAUCACUUGGAAGACAGGACCUCACACAAUGAAGACAAAAUAUAUAAUCUUGAAAAGAAUGUUGCCACACAGUGAAGAUGGUAAGAAACCAAGAGCAGAAUAUUGAAGGAUUAUGGGAUAACAUAAAAAGACCAAAUUUAAG